CCCCUGAUCCAAAGAUUCCCCACCCUGGGUUGAAGCAGAAAAGCCAAAUACUGAUGCUUUACUUAUUUGACUGGGCCUCCCUUUUACUGUCUGGCUGCGAUGCCUCUGGCAGUAUGGAAACAGCAGAGAAUGGAUGAGAGGAAAUGUGGCAGAAGUUUAUUCUGAACGCCAGUCUUGGCUAAAGAAGACUGCCUCACAAGUCACCUAACUGGAGAAGAAAUAACUUCCUUUCAUCUGGAAAUACAGUGCCCCUUUAAAAACUCAGUUUGCUGGCUGUCCUCCAGGUGAAACUACUAGAGCAACAAUUCCUAGCCUGAUCCCCUCCAGAUGUUGGACUACAGCUUCCUGGCCAUUGGUUGUGCUGCUGAAAAUUAGAGUCCAACAUCACCUGGAGGGCCACAGAUUGGGGAAGGCUGAGCUGAGAGGGAGGAGAGCAGUCCUGUGGCAAAAAGGUGGGAGUUGCAGAUUUCCACCUUUCUCCAAAAUGAAAGACAGCACUGGUGUAAGGCAGAACCACGGCGGGCAGUUCAAGGACCUGAUUGCACAGCAAUAUUUGCUGCCAAUGCAUCUCUCCCCAGCGGAGUUUACAUGAUCAAACCAAAGCAUUUUCCUAAGUCUUUUGAGGUAAGGU
Molecule: long non-coding RNA, 631 nt
Organism: Lacerta agilis (Sand lizard)
Lineage: Eukaryota; Metazoa; Chordata; Lepidosauria; Squamata; Lacertidae
Exons: 3
Source: RefSeq, a predicted model, not a curated record